GUAGUUGUAGCCAAGUAGUUAAAGCAAUGGACUAGCAAUCCAUUGGUGUCUCCCUGCACAGGUUCAAAUCCUGCCAACUACA
Emys orbicularis (European pond turtle) is the source of this 82-nucleotide non-coding RNA. The record is from the annotation of a RefSeq genome assembly. Lineage: Eukaryota; Metazoa; Chordata; Testudines; Emydidae.